UGUUUUCAUCUCCUUGUACCCUACCAAUUUCAUAUGCAUCAACCAACUUUCAGUUAAACAAGUGCCCUAAAAUACCCUUUGGGGUGGCCCAGUGGUUUGAGCUUGGGACUUCCUUGUUGGAGGUCUCAAGUUCGAAACCCCUUACCAGCGAAAGCAAGGGUUUGUCUUCUGGGUCGAGGUCGUCGCAUCGGGCUUGCCUAGUGCGGAUUACCUCUCCUAUGUGGUUUGCGAGCUAUUGCAUAAGAGCAUGGGCUGUACCCUGUGCGCACCCAAGGGUAGCGGCUGCGGGUUUCCCUUGUUAUAAAAUUUAAAAAAAAAAUGCAAAAUAUUUGAGUGAAAUCAAAAUGCACAAACUUUAAGCAGCAAUCUUGUCCAAAGAUAAACAAACAAUAUAGGAGGAAAACAACUUACUAAAAGGAAUUGGAGAACAAAUUGACAAGUAGAGCUUCCAAGGCAUAGAAGGGUUCAAUCCAACCCAAAUAAAGAUACACCCAAAACUCCAAAACAAAUACUACAAAAGAAAAGUUAGAAGUCUACCUCAGAAUUCAGAUUCCAGCUCUGCUUCAAGAAAUGAAUGGUAAACAGCUGAGCUCUACACUCAAUUGGGACACGAAGACCAACUAUGUCCUUCCGCUUAGCUCAACCAGUUUUUUGACCCAUUUAUCAAAACUUUAAUUUAAAUUGCUACUCAGAAAUUCACAAAUAUUUUUGGCAAAUUAUUUUCGAGUUUUGUUAUGAAUUUUGGGAUAAAUUUUUAUUUAAAAAAUAUAUAAUUUUAUAUUCAUAAGUUCUAAGAAUUAUUAAAAGUAUUUAUAAGUUUAUAUUAUCAUUUUGUGCUAAACAUGUUUCCUAAAAAGUAAUCACAACAAACAUAAUUAAUAUGAAUUUGAGAAAAAUAUCAUUGAUUUAUAUAGGAAAAAAAUAUUAUUACUACUUAUAAUUGAAAGUGGCUUCAAAAGACAAGUUCGAAUAAAAACUGAUAAAAUAUGUAUAUAACUAUAUAAAUUUUAUACGUCGAACUAGGAUUCUAAAAUUUAGUCCAAAAUUAUAAAUGAUGGAUGUUUUUAUAAAAUAUAAAAAUUUGCUAUAAUUUUUAAAAGUUCUCAAAUAAUAAAAUUUGACCCAAAAUGCUAUUUUUUUCUACUAUUUGAAAAUAUGGAUUAUUUUCCAAAAAUAUAUAGCAAAUAAUGGCAAGUUAUAUGACCAAACAAGAUUUGUCAAUUUUUUUCCCCAAAUAUUUUAUAAAAUAUCUAUGGUCAAACGGAAAUCGUUUGGUAGGGUGUAUUAGGGGUCGGUCCGGUUUGAUUUAAUGUACUAUCAGUUCGUUUUAUUAUUUUUUGAUUUUUAAAUAUGCUAAACCAAUAACUAAUUAAAUCAAUAUGAUAUUUUUCAAAAUCAAUUUUCGAUUUAUCGAUAUUGGUUCUUAACGACACGGUUUAACCAAUACAAAAAUGCUCAUAAGACAAACAUAUAUAUGACUACUCCAAUAAUUUGGUGUGAUAAGACACUAAUGUAACUUUGUAUAAUGCUCACAAAAUAGAAACAUCAUUAGCUAACAUGAAAAUAACUAUACAAGUACAACACAAAUAAAAGAACUAAGAUAAUAGUAUGAAUUGAAGGCUAAAUGGUAAAUGUAGUAAACAGUAAGGUACUGAUAUUAAUAUUAGUAUUUAUGUAGGGGUAAAUGAGUAAAUUACUACAACCUUAAUGAUUAUAUAUCGGUUUACCUAUACAAACAUAUGUUGACCAAAUAAGUCAAUAGCAUUUUUUCGAUUCAAUUUAUUGGUCGGUUCGAUUUUUACACACUCCUAGGGUGCAUGAGAAUAAUAUCAAAUAAAAUGUAUUAAAAAUACUAGCAUUAGUAAUGCAUGUAUUAGUUAUGUUUGCAUUAAUUAUGCAAUAAUUAUUUCUUAUACACAUUGUUUAGUUUGGUGUAUUAAAAAUAAUAUGCAUUACAUAUUUUUUUGUUGUAAAAUACUUUACAAAGGUACACCCUCCACAAUUAUGCGAGAAAAGUUGUAAAAAAAAUAUUUUAAGGGAUGCUUGAGUCUUUAACCAUGCUAAUGCAUGCAUUGAAAUCUCUUGCAUUACUAAUAUCAUGAAUUUUCAUGUAUAUUAUAAUACACACAUCAACCUAUUAAUUAUACAUAAGUUGAAAAUGUACCAAACAAAAUAUUACUAAUAUACAAAAUUAAUACAUGCAUUAUUUCUUUUAAUACACUCUAUCCAACGACUCAGGAGUUAUUUCUUCUAACAAAUUUGUUAUGUUAGUAUGGUUUAACCCAUUAUUCUACGGCCAUGACUAAUUUGGUCUGCUUAUUCAUCAAUCAAAAAUAAAAUCAUAGUUGUAUUAUUAUUAAGUAGUGAUGUAUUUCUUAAAUUUUUAAAUGAGCAAUUUAUAUAUUUUAUAUAAACCAUUUAUGAAAUGGUAUUUUUACUUAUAAAAAGAUAAAGUUGGCUAAAAGAUACCCAUCUUUUCUAAUGUAUCUUUUGGCAGUUUUUGGUCAAAAACAUCUUUAAAUUAUACCCCAAACUUAAAUUACAUUUUUAAAAUAUUUUUUUUUGGCAAAAAAUAUCCUCUAAGUAUUUGAAAGCUUAUAUAAGAAAUCGUCAAAAAACUAUGGGAUCUUACAAAACCAUGAGCAAUUCACGUGACUAUCAACAAAAGUUUUUCUGCAUAAUUUCAUUAUCUGCUAUAAGAAGUUCCUGAAAAAAAUAUUAAAAAUCUUAGACAUCAUUGCUUACCGAAACAAAAAAUGUUUGGAAGGUGUGAGGAUACACAAUCUGUUCUUUUUCUCAUUUAGUAACGAAAAGAAGCUGGAGCUUAAUUAUCAUUACCUUUUUCAAAGCUAAACUGUAUUUAAAUCAAUAAAUUUUUGGGCCAAUAUGAAAUUGAAGUGAUCAAAAUAUUGAUUAUGUCUCGCAUUUGAGUUUCAUUCUACAUUAUUAGAAGCGGAUGUCUCCAACAAACGCCGCUGCUAGCUUAUUCAAUUGAGACGAAACAUAUUUCAACUAAUAAUAUUUUUAAUAUCAGAUAACAUGAAAAAUAAAUGAAAAAAAACUAUCAAAUUAAAAAUUUUUGCAUAAUGCUAAACUCAGUUACCAAAAAAGUUCACGAUAAAUUUUUUGACGUAUCUAAGAAUAAUAAUUACGAAGGAAUAACUUGAUUUUUGUGGGAUCUUUAGUUUUCUACUAAAAGUAGAAGGAUGAAAAUUGUUCACUUUUAUAUACUUGAAGGAUGUUUUCUUCUAAGAAUGAUACUUUAAGGAUAUAGUUUAAGUUUGAGAUACAGUUUAAGGUUGAUUUUGGCCAAAAUCUUUAUCUCUAGCGUACUUCAUGUUGAAAAUAAGAGAAAAAGAAAAAAAUGUUGAAAAUUAAUAUAUCUUUUACAGUUUCAAUGUGAAUGAUCAAUUACUAACUAAUACAUUUCAAAAAAUAUUUUCAAUGAUAUGUAUACUGAUUCUACAAUUAAUGAUAUAGUUGAGCAAACAUUAUGAGAUAAUUAAUGAGUUAUCAAUACAAAUUUAAAUCAAUUUUGUUUGUAUACGGUAAAAGAAAAAUGAAAAUCUAGAGAUUUAAUUUAUUUUAGAAAAAAAAUGUUUUGAGUUUGUUGUUUUAAGAGAAGAUAAAGUGCUAAGUUAUUUUUGAAGCUUCGAUAUACAUGAAAUUAAUAAAUUAAAAAUAUAGUAUUAUUAAAUAUAUGAACUGUUAUGAUAGAGACGUAUGAACACUUUAAUAGGAGUUUUUAAAGAAGCAAUAAUUUAUUUAAUAUUGUGUUUUUAAAGCGAACAAAUUAAAUGAAAAGAAUAAGGUAAAAAGCAAUAAUAAUAAUAAUAAUAAAUAAAUAAACAUAAUACUUAGUGAAGAAAGAGCUGCCACAUCAAUUGCAUAUUGUGUGAAUUUCGUAUAUAUUUAUAUUGGUGGCCAAUAAAAGAUUGAAAAAAAAUUAAAUUAUAUGUGUCGAAUUUGCAAGCAACAAUAAUUUAAUAGAAAGUUCAUUACCCGAGAAAUUAUAAAAAUAGUCUCUUAAAUUUGGAGUAGAUUUAAAGUAAUCCUUUAAUAUAUUGUUAAAUAAUUUUGAUCUUUUAAAUUUAUCAAAAGUAAUAAUGUAUCUUUUAUUUCUGUCAAAUUUACAAUAAACUUUAUUAGUUAAAUUUGACGAAGCAGUAAAUUUGUUUUGUAACACGAAUUAGUAUUUUAAGGUGCAAUUAUCUUUUUUGUUCUACAUCUUUGUACUUUUCUUCAAGUGCAGUUAAUGAAGAUCUUUUUGUGUCGUAAUUUUAACAAAACUUCCUGAUUAAUUUUUAAAAAUAACUAGAGAUAUUCAAUUUUAAUUAGUUCUAAAUGUUUGAAAAAUUUGGUCAAAUAAUGCAACAAUUAGUUCUAAUGUUUGAAAAUUUUGGUCAAAUAAUGCAACAAACGAGACUAUUUUUUUUUUUGAACUCCAGGAUAUAACCCGCCAUCGCUACAAUCUCUGCCCUUCGGGAGAACACUCUGUGGUGAACAUUUUGUGUGGGUAAGCCCCCACUGUGUAAUAGCCUGCAAACCACACAGGGUAUGUAAACCAUACUAGAUAAGCCCUAUGCGACAUGCUUGACUCAGAAGGCAUUGAAGGGGGAUCGAUUUAGGAUCAUCCGUGUGGAUAACCACCCUCCAAACCAACUGAACCAUCUCGAAGGACAAACUAUUUAAAAAAAAAGAAUAAAUCUCUCGAAUUCGAGCUUUGCGUAUGAAAAGCUUUUUUCCAAAUGAGACCCUAAGCGAUAUAGAUUUAAAUUAGCCAAUUUUAAUAUGGAUACUAAUCUUCGAAUGAAAAAUCAUCAUAAAUAAUUUUGUUGGCCCUUCCCCAUUAUUAGUGGAAUUUUUUUUUUUUAGUAAGAUACUAAUAUUUAUGCCAAAAAUGAAAGAAAAACAAAAGUUAUUAGAAAAAUGGCUUGUGUAAAUUUGGAUCUAACAUAGGGAUUUUGACAAAUAUUUAUGAGAGGUGAGUAAAAAAGUGUUAUGUAAAGCCCGGCGCGGAAUCCACGAGUUUCGUGUUUUUGUGUUUUCCUUAUUCUUCAUCAUUUUCCGGUCACAAAAAUCUCCAUUUUUGCCUCAAAAACCCCAUUAUACACUCUUCAACUUGGCUGUAAUACGAAGUUUUCUGGUUCUACAAUGCUCGAAUGGCUCAGUACAGACAAUCGGGUGCUAUAGGUAUUAUAAACAAUGGUGGUGGUGGAGUUGUUCGGAACGGAGUUGCAUCGGAUCAUGUAUCGGUAGGGAUUCGUUCGAAUAAGCAGCAGCAGCAACAGCAGCAGCAAUUGCGGAAUCAUCACCGUCGAUUGAAGUCUACUACUCGCAAGAUCUCGAUUGGUGCUAUAAUCGUUAUUCUAUUCGUUGCCUUUGUUGUUUCCGUCUCUGCUUUCUUCUAUUUCACAUCUCAAAAUAAAGGUUAGUUGAGACCUUGAGCUAUCAUUGACUACGAAUUUUGUCGCAUUUGUUAUCAUUUUUGGGGGAGUGAGAUGGGUAAUGCUAGAUUUUGUUGAGUUUUUGGGUAGUUGGAAGUUUUUUGCAAGUUUAGGAGUUUAGCGUAAUAGGAUCAAAAGGUGAAAUAUCAGCACAACACUCACUGUGAGCUCAUUUUGUGGUAGGCCGGAUUUUUGUUCUUGUGGUUUGUAGCAGGAUGUCGGAUGGGUUGGUGGAAGUGCAAGUUGGCCGGUGGGGAGUAGUUGGAUGGGGUUUGUCCUAGUUCUAUAAUGAGAUUGUCCUUGCUAUAGUGUACUAAAGGGUAUGGUUUGUUCUUGUUGGUUGUGAGUAAAUGUAAAUAUUCUGCUAUUUUUUUGGAGCCUUUUGGAAUGAGAGAUAUAGAAGGUGUUUUGGUGGCAUCUUAACUCCCAAGUCACUCUUUUAAAGCUAAAUGUUUAGUUAAUCUCUUUACUUGGAUAAUGUUGUCCCGAGUAACUAGUGCCGGACAGUUUUUGGAUUUUACUAGCUUUUUAGUUCUUUUGUUAUUAGCAUCCUGUAACUAUGCAUCUCCUUGAUGCCUUCCUAUGUAAUCCAUUACUUCAUUACUUGUUUUAAAAAAAGAAAUGAAAAAGGUAAUUUAAGAGGAUUUUUGCAGAACUCACAAUGCCAAGUUUGACGGUUUGCAAUUUUUGAGUAGUAGAAAUUCGGAGAAUUUUUUAGAAAUGGGAUUUGGUAAUACUGGUGCUUAUCAGCAGUUUCGGUUAGUUUUGGUUUGGUUGUUUGAAAUGUUGAUGAUUUUAGAAAUGGGAAUGCUAAAUUAUGUGCAGGUUUGCAGUUUUAGCUUUUUUGGUUUUCGAGUAGUUGGAGAUCUAGGGUAAUUAUAAACAUGAGAAUGCCAAAUUUUGUGGGUUUCUGUGGCCCUAGUUAGUCUUGGUCUUUAGAUAGUGCAAAUUCUAAAGGAUUCUUGUGGAAAUGGGAGUUCUAAGUUUUGUGAGGUUUACAACAUUUGAAGAUAGUCUUAGUUUUCUUAAUUUUUGACCUGAUGUUAAAUUAAGAUUAUUGGGUAAAAUUAAGAUAGACAAAUAAGAAAAAUAAUUGAAUGUUUUAAGAGUUCACGAUCAACCAAAAAAACAGAAGAUGACUUUUUUUUUUGAGGAUGGUAAACACAGUAGAUGACUUGGAAAAUGGUUGCAACAUGAUUCUGGAAUUGAGAGUUGGCUACUUUGGUAAUAUUUCAUAGUUUAUUUAUUUACCAGAACUGGGGAGUUAACGACUUAUGCCAAAGUGGUAAUGAUAAAAUAAUUUGCCUUUUUCUGCUUUUAUAAGUAGUUUGGUUUUCGGCAGUUGAAACUGAGUUAAACUGAAGUAAGAAGAUUAGUUUUUUUAAUUGGAUAUCGUUUCUUAGUUUAGACUACAUUUAAGUAUCACCGAGUUAGGGAAUGUCACAUUAUGACCUUGUUAUGAGGUUGAAUGUUCACAAUGGACCAGAACGCUCAUCCUCCGGGGUGGCUCAGUUGGAGGUCUCAAGUUCGAAACCCCUUGCUAGUGAAAGCAAGGGGUUUGCCUUCUGGGUCAAGCUCAUCGCUCUAGGCUUGCCUAGUGCGGGGUUACCUCUCCCGUGUGGUCGAGCUAUUGCAUAGGAGCGGGAGUUUUACCCUGUGCGCACCCAAAGGGUAGCGGCUGCGGGUUUCCCUUGUCAUAAAAAAAAAGAGACCAGAACGGUACAAAAAUGCCGAUGAAUUGGUAAGUAAGGGUAAGAACUUACUUAACAAUAUUUGGGCUUAUUAAAUUUUACGGUACAUCUGUAGAUGUUAUUUGUAGAGUAUCUUGUCACGGUUUCUUCACUUUAGCUAUUUCCUUUUUUGACUUAUUUUAAUGUGCUUUUUCCUGAACCAAGGGUCUAUCGGAAACAAUCUUUGUAUUUCUUAAGGUAGGAGUAAGGUAUGCGCACAACUCUACCCUCCGCAGACCCACAUAUAGGAUUAUAUUGGGUAUGUUGUUGUUAUUUGUAGAGUAUGAUGUAUUAAUUGACAGAACUCGUAAGUGAACCAAACGGAUGCUGGAACUACGGAGAAGCACUCUUGAGUGUAAAGAGUUUUAAUUAUUAUGGCGAGUUAAAUAAGUCAAAAAAUCAUAUGCACUGUAAAUUUCGUCACAAGAAAAAUGAAGGUAAAGUAAGAUUACACGGAUUGUGGUUCCCAAGUGCAGUCUAUUCAGAUAUCUAGGCUCAACCUUUAGGAAGAAUGACAUGAUAGAUGAAAAUAUAACACAUAAUUAACAUAGAUGGUUGACAUUGAAGAGUGCUACAGGAGUGGCUUGCUAAUAAAUAUGCAACAAAGUGAAAUGUGAGUUCCAUAGAAUGAAUGUGAGAGUAGUAAUAUUAUGUGGGAGUUGAAGCCUCAGCACGUGCACGGGAUAUAUUAGCUUCUGGGAUGCAUCCCAAAUUGUGUGAGUCAGUAUGUUGAAGUAUCCUGUAUUCCAAGUACUAAUUGAGUGUUACUUUUAAUAAGUAAGAGGUUAGUGUAUAAUUUGAGUUUAUGAGGCAAAGUAUUUAUCUGUGAGCAAAGAACUGGCAAAGUUGGAAUGAUCUAUGAAUUUGGCUUCAUGAUCUAUAAUUUGUGCAUCUCUUGAAACUUGCCCUUUCCAUUUUUAGAAUUUUAGGAUUAAAGAUGACAACAUAAUAAAUGUAAAACUAGAUGUGCCCACAGGUAUUUGGUUUAGUGAUGAGAGUAUAGCAUGUGUGGAUUACACGCACGUGAUGAGUUUGAUUCCCGAGGGUAGAGGGGCGGACCCAUUAUUUGCCAGAUUUCAAAAUGUGCGUUCCCUCGGAGAUUUUUGGGUUAACAAAAAUAAUAAAUAAUCAUAAUGUAAAGCUAGAUGACCCAAUCAACUUGUUAGAGUAAAAAAAAUUUAAAAAAUGGUUGACUAUGGAUGGCAAUUAAAGAAAUAGUGUAAACAAGCAAGGUCUGCAUAUUUAGUUAAAAACAAACAAACAAGCAAGGUCUGCAUAUGAUGUUCCGGUGUGUUCAGCUGUAUCUUUUUUCAUUGUUUUGGACAGUUAAGGCUAAAUCUUCCAGUUCUGUUUUAGAAAUAUAUUCUCCAAUAUUUAGACAGUUUCCCUGUAUGCUGUUGCAGAGUUAGAUAAUAAUCACUUUCAAGAUGAUGGUGAUGUGGAAAAUGAUUCAGAUUUUCUUACAAAUGUGACACGGACACAAGGGAAGGUUCUCCAAUUUGGACAUGGGUCAGUAAAUCAUGGCCGGGAUUCUCGUUAUUGGGAUAAGGAUGACCGGAGAAGGGAUGAUGAUUACAACGAGGAGGAUUUGGAGCGGAAUCCAGUUAGUGACUUGGAUAAGGAGCAAAGUCCUCCAGAUGGGAAGAAAGGUGACAAGAAGUCGUUUUCAAAAGGAUUGGAUCAUGGUGGAAAUGGUUUAUACAACGAAGCUGGACGCGAUGAGUUGAGAAAAUAUGAAGCCAAAUAUCAAGCUUCCUUGGAGAAUGCUGAACACGCACAAGAUGGACAUCAUUUGCCAAACCAGCAAUCGAGUGAUGCUGACAAGGGAAAGAAAAGAGAACUGGUGGAUGCAGAUGAUGGAUAUGAUGAUGGAAUUGACUUAGAAGAUGCACAUACAGACGGAUAUGAUGAUGGUGGUCAUGAAGAUUGGAACCAUACUGUUGCUGCCGAAUCCCAGGACAUACAUGACAGUCAUUUUUUUGAUACACAUGUUGCUGGAAAUAACUAUCAAAAUCAUGCCAAAGAGGCUAGUAAAACAUCCAAGGACUUUUCCAAUAAGGAAUCCUCUUCAAGUUCUCAUCACCAAAAAUCUAACACAAACUCUGGACGUGUCAGCUUCAUUGAUGGUCACCCCUCAAAAAAGUCUUCGUCAGAAAAGCGGCCAGUAUCCAGAAGGAAGCCAAGGAAGCAUGGUAACAUUAUUUCCUAUUUUUGUUGGUGCCCAGUGACUUUAUUUUUAUGAUUAUUUUGUCUUCAGACAAUUUUGUAUUCCUCGAGUCAACUUGAUGUCUGAACUUUUUGAUUUUAACAUGGACAGAGAAAACUGAAGAGAUGUGCUUGGGGACAUUGGAACAUUUUCUUAUGGGAACUUGCUUAAGCGCUUUGAAUAACUUACCUAAUAAAAUUUGCUCCUUAUUACUCUUAGCCUAAAGAAAAGGCACUUUUGAUAUUCAACAUCUACAUGCUGGAUAAUUAAUUUAGAAGUCCGUGUCUGUAAAAAUAGAGACUUGUUGUGGGAUGCAAGUGAACCUGAUUCACCUAUAUAUAUUUAUAUGUAUAAUUGAUGAAGUAAAUAAGAAAGACUAAGACAACCAAAUUCACUAAGUAAUGUAGUAUAUCAUACUUAGGAAUAGUUCUCAUAAUAUAUAACUACAAUUUGAGCUUUCUUGAUGAGGUUGAUGUAGGCUAGUCAUGGAUAUUUUGCUAGAUUAGAGAAAGAUUUUAGUUGAGUCGAUGUAUAUCAUUGGGAAGUUAAACUAAUAAUUGCUACUCGUAUUUAGUUGUGUGCAGUCGAGGAAAAAACGAAAAGAAACAAGAGACAGCUGUUAGCUGAGCAUCUUUAUGUAAAGCAUAUUGAGAUGCUAAUGAUAGUAGGAGGUCAUCAACAGCGGCCUACUCAAGCUGAAAGAGAAAAGAUACUUAGGAUAGCUGCAAAAGGAACUAUGGAUGAAGACCUUAUAGAUUUUGUAGAUUGGAGAAAGGUGCGCUUAUUGGUCUCUUAUCUGCAGACUCAACUCUUCUUGAAUUCACCAGUUCUCAUUUUCGUCAGAGGAUCAUAUAGGCCCUUCAAGUUUAUUGAACUGAAGAGAAGCUCAGGCUACUUAACUCUGAAAGCAGUUCUUUUUUUUUGAUUUGCACCGGGUGUCCGAGUCUCUUUGAGCCCCGACUAAUCCCGGGGGUGCACAGGCCCUCGGCAAGGAGUUUCCCGCAAGUGCACCACGGUUAAUUCAGGUUUUACCCAGUCCGAUGGCCCUCAGAAAUUGUUUGCACCCAGUGGGUUUCGAACUUGAGACCUUGAAAGGGAGCAAACCCCAAGGCUCUAGUCAAUUGCCAGCAGGCCAACCCUGAGGGUUUACUGUUAGGGGUUGUUUGGCAGUGUAUUAGCAAAAAUAAUGCAUGCAUUAACUCUAUGUAUUAGUAGCCCCUUGUUUGGUACACUUUUUCAUGCUAUGUAUAACUAAUGCAAGCAUUAGUUAUACACUCUAUUGUGUAUUAGGAGUGUAUUACUAAUACCAUGGAUUUCUAGGUAUUAGUAAUGCAAAGGAAUUUAAUACAUGCAUUAGCAUGGUUAAAGACCCGAUUACCUCUCUAAAGCGCUUUUACAUCUUUUCCACCAUAAUUGUGAAGGAUAACUUUGUAAUAAUAUUUUUAUACAAUGCAUACUAUUUUUUUGACAAAGGUAACAGUUGUGUAUUAAUCUUCAACACUAAAGGCUGGGAUCCCAAAUUUACAUCAUGGAGCUACAUACAGUUGCGAGUACUCAAAACAAAACAAAACUAGAACCUACUUCAACUUACAAAGAACCUAGGAUAUCUAUAACAACUAUAGGAUCAUCUACAUACUCCAAACUGCACCAAUAGCAAAAAGUGAUUAUGCAAUUCAUUUUGAUCCUGUGUAAGGGACUACUAAUACUCUCAAAGCAUCUCAUAUUUCUUUCCUUCCAUAUGGUCCACCAAAUCACUGCUGGGACAAUUCUCCAUCUGCUUUGGUCUGUCCUGCCACUGCCUUCAGUGUUCCAGCUUUCUAUAGCCUGACUUGCCCUUUGUGGCAUGGUCCAGUUUGUGCCCCUGAAGCUAGUAAAUAAGUGCCACAAUUGUCUGACCACCUUGCAAUGAAGAAACAGAUGGUUGAUUGUCUCUGCCUGUAGCUCACAAAAAAAACAUCUAGGACACAUGUAUUCCCCUCUUCAUUAGAUUCUCCUGUGUUAGUACCGCCUCUUUAACUACCAACCAAGUAAAGACUGCCACCUUAUAUGGAAUUUUGACUUUCCAGAUAAGCUUCCAAGGCAAAAAUCUGAGUUGAGUCCCCAUUUGAUUCAGGUUCUUGUAGGCAGAGCUAACUGUGAAGAUACCUUUGCUGUGAUGAAUCCACGUAAGAGUGUCUUCUCCCUCUUUCAAUCCUCCAAAAUGGUCCAGGGUGCCAUAAAAUUCAGCUAGUCUAUCCACCUCCCAGUCUUGUAUCAUCCUUCUGUAUGUUAAGUUCCAUCCAUGGAUGGACCAAACUUCUUGCACAGUGGCCUCAUGUUGCUGAUUCAACAAGUAGAUGUCUGGAAAGAGCUGUUUGAGGCUGCCAUUUCCCAGUGUUGUAAAAAGCGCAGAAAAGCGUGCUUAAAGCGAGAAGCGAGGCGAGGCGAGCCCCCUGCGCUUUUAUUUCGUGAAGCGAGGCGACAUUGAAAAGGCGCUCGCUUCUACUGUAGAAGCGAGAAGCGCAAGAAAAGCAAAAGCGUAAAAAAAGCGCGCUUAAUUUGAAAAAGCGCUAAUUAGGGUUCUUUUUUAAAAUUGUUUAAAGUUUUUUUUUUUUUUUAAAUUUCUGAAAUCCUUAUGCGAUUGAGCAACACCCCCAGGCCUUAGCAUAAAUAAAAUAAACAAAGUACAAGGAGGGGGACAUAAACCUUACCUCCGGUGUUAUGGUGGUUCAUAGUAGUACUUCCUACUAAGGAAGGUCCACUCUUCCCCAUACUAGAAAGAUGAAACCUAGUAUCUACGCACCUAAAAGAGAGGACUCCUCUCGAUCCAAAGAAACUAAGAAACAUAAAUAUGGGAGACUCUCCCCUUACAUAAGUAAGACAAGAAUAAAACAAGGGAGACUCUCCCCUUACAAAAGUAAGACAAGAAUACAAUCCUAGAAAAUUAAAAUCUAAACAGGAAAUUCAAAUGAGCAGAAGCAAAAUCAGGGAGGUCUCUUGAUUCGUUUCAGUCUCUUUCUUCUGAAGGUUGGAAUUUUUUUUUUUCAAUUAAUAUUACUGCUCUGUUUUUUCCAAUUCUUUUGCUGCUCUGUUUUCUUUUUUAUUUCUGUACAGUGACUGUGAUCAGUGAUGUGUGUAUGCUUGCUGCUCUGUUUGUUUUUUUUUCUUCAAUACAGUGUGACUGCUCUGGUUGCUGCUCUUAAAUCUUAAUAGUCUUUAUUUUUCUUACUUAGUAAAUUUGUUGUUUUGUUACUAAGUGACACUUCUUUUUUGCUUGUAGUAACUAGUGAAGUUUUUAAUUCUUUUAUGAUUUAAUUAUGUUUUUGAUUUUUUGCUUUAUAUGUUAUGACUUAUGAGUAUUAUUGACUAUCUAUUUACUUUUAAUCUAAGAAUAUAUUACCUCUAUUCAGUUAUUUAAUAUUUUUUUAUUUUUAUACUAAAUAUCGCUUUACUUAAAAAAAGCGCGCGCUUCGCUUCUCGCUUCUGUGAAGCGAGCCCUUGUCGCUUUUUUCCGCUUCUCGCUUCCCAAAACAUUGCCAUUUCCUAACCAAUUAUCGUCCCAAAAUAAAAUCUUUCUUCCAUUGUUUAUAUUGAAUCUAGUUCUUUGAAAGAAACAAUGCCACAAAUUUCUGAUUGAUCUCCAUAGGCUAAUACCAUAGGCAGAAGUCACUUCCUUAGUUUUCCAGUGAUCUAUCUUCUCAUACUUGGCCUGAAUCACUCUAACCCAAAGAGCAAUGCAUACUAUUUUUAAUACACCAAACCAAACAAUGCAUAAGAAAUAAUUUAUGCAUAACUAAUACAAGCAUUACUAAUACACUCUAUUGAGCAUUAAUUUUAUACACUUUACCAAACGACCCCUUAGUAAUUUAUAUAAUAAUUAUGAAGUUAGGUAUUAGAGCAUGUUAGUUGUAAAAAAGGUUAGGGAUUAGAGUCUUCCCAAUCUCUAAAAAUCUUCCUCAAAAAGAAAGGUAUUAGAGUAGAAUAUUGUAUGAUAAGUCUCGUCUAAGAAGCAGAGUGAUGUUGCUCAAAAUCUUUUAUUUUAGCCAUCUCACUGUACUCAUUUUCCAGUCUGCUAAUCUGCUAGCUAAAUGUGUGAUUUCUGUCUUGCUCGUCACAAUCAUCAUGGUCUGGUGCUGUAGAGUAUUAGCAGUCUUUCAUGUCAAGUAUAAAACUUCGGAUCUUGACAAGGCAGCAUGCCAGGAUUCAAGCCCUUUUUGUCCCUUGUAUGAGACAUCGUUUCUCAGAUUUCUGGAUUUCCAAACAUCAGGAAAUUUCUGUAAUUUCUUGCAUUUAGCCUAAUAGAAUGAGUUUAUGUACAAAAUCUUGAACAUUAGCCCACCCCACCCCCUUACUCAGGACUUAAAUAAUCAUGCUUUACAUUUGCAGCUUGUGAGAUGAAAAUUUUGAAUGCUAGUGCUCUUCUUGUGGAACCUCUGGAAAGUCGAAAGUUUUCAAGGUUUUCAUUGCAGUACACGGAAACAGAGGACAAACCUUUUGACGAUGCAAACUGGGAACCUAGAUUUUCUGGGCAUCAAAGUCUGGAAGAACGGGAAGAAUCUUUUCUUGCACGCAAUCAAAAAAUAAACUGUGGUUUUGUUCGAGGCCCUGAAGGAACUCCAAGUACCGGAUUUGACUUGGCAGAAGAUGAUGCAAAAUACAUUAGCAGUUGUCACAUUGCUGUAGCUUCAUGCAUCUUCGGAAAUUCAGAUCGCUUGAGAAUACCAGUGGGCAAAAUGGUAUCACCAAAUUCUUCUCUCUUUAGUUUUCGUAAUUUUGGAUGAGAUUACAAUUUUAGAUGUUCUUUUCCAUGGAUGCUAACUCAUGAAACUUUGCCUAUGUGUAUAUUGGUACACAUAGCAAAAUCGUAUUUUCCAUGUCGAUACUAGAAGGAACUCGUGCACACUUUUGUUAAACUGGUCAAAAGCUGACGGGAGAAAGAGAAGAUUUACUAGUAAAGUAGUGUUUAAUCUCCUUUAGAUCCUUAGGAUACACCCUAUCGAGAUGUAUCAUAUAAGAUGUUCAUCUGCUUAAAGGAAAAAUACUUAAGGAAGCUCCUAAUUCGUAUUCUCCAACUUAAAAAGUAAUAAGCCAUUAAUUAAACUCCUAAGAGAAGGAAAUUAAUAAACUCCAAAAAUUGUUCAGUGGUAGAUACAUUAGCCAAUUUAGACCAGCAAAAGACUAAGAGCAAGCAUCUAGUUUUGAGGGAGUGAUUGGAGUUUGAGGUUCCAUCAAAACAUCUUCUAUUCCUCUCAUUCCAAAUAACCCAGAAGGUAGCAGCAGGGAUCUUUAGCCAGAUCCUUUUGAUGGUUUCAUCUCUCCACAAGCUCCACUUCAUAUGUGCUUCUUUUAUGGUCUGUGCCAUGACCCAUUUCAAUCCAAAGAUGCAAUAAAACAUGUAGAUUGACUUUAGAGAGAGAGUGUUCUCCCCAAGUGAAAUACCACGUCCACCUAUCAAACUCUUAUCUUUCUUUUGUCUAUCUUUCCCUUUUCUUUCACCCUGUCAUUUCAACUUCAUCACCCUGCCAGAAUCCUAUCUCCCUUAUUCUUAUCCUCAAGCUUUUUUUCUUUUUUUUUCUACAAAGGAGAUGCUAAUGCUGGACCUUCAAAAGUUGGAGCAGAUAAAGUACUACUUACAGAGAUCCUAAAAUUUCUACGAGCUGUUCUGAUUCCUCUGAACUUAUGUGUCUACACCAAAAUAGGAGAGAUACAUUACAAUUCCAUUUAACCUUAUGAAUGGACUUGGAUGUUUCUUCAAAAUUUCUACUAUUCCUCUCUCUCCAAACUGUCCACCAUAUGCAUGGGGGAUUAAUCUCCACCUAGCCUUCUGCCUCUUGCUGCUCCCCCUAAUCCAACAAUUCAACAGGCAUACUCCACUUAGUUUUCUGUGGGUGAAAAAUAUGGCCCAAAUCUGUGCUGUGGAACUGCAGUGCAAAAACAAAUGAUUGUUGGUCUCUUCUGUCUUCCCACACAGUGAACAUCAAGAUACUAUAGUCAUUCCUUUCUUCUUCAGGACUUCAUGUGUCAGGCAAGCCCUCAUAACCAACCAUUUAAAACAUUUUACCUUGGUAGGUGCUGAGUUUCUCCACAUGUUCCUUCACUAGCUUUACUGGCUUCUGCUAUGCUGGUUGCUAUCCAAUCUAUAGGACAUGCUAACAGUGAAAGCCCCAUCAUCACUGUGAUGUGAUCAGUCAAAUUUAUAUCUCUGCCAAACUAGCUUUCUCAACAAAUAGAGCUGAGAGGAUAUUUUGUUAGCAUCAUAAGCAGUUUUCUCCUUGCUUUGUUCUUCUCUCUCUCUCUUGCUGGCUUUAAACUUUCCUUCAAGAUAGAGUAAUUUCUUAGCCAUGUUAAACACUUGUAUUUUAUUUGGAUCAUGGUCUUUAUGUUCAAGAAUUAACUCAAAACUGAAGAAAAGACCGAAAGAACAUGAAAAGCUCAGAGAGUCACAGCUUGUUCAGUCUUGGUUCUACAGGUUUUCUGAUUUUCUCAGUUUGACCAAUUUUUUCUUUGUGAAAAAUAGACUUGUAGCCCAUCCAGUUGUGUGGCAACUUUGUUAAAUCAGUUGAACUGGUUUGUCAGUACCAUUUUUGAAAGGGAAAAAGGACAAAUAUACCCCCGAACUAUCGUUAGUGGUAUAUAAAUACCCUCCGUCAUACUUUUCGUUCACUAAUACCCCUGCCGUUCAAAAAUCAGUGCACAUUUACCCCUCUCACUAACAUAAAAGUUAUUUGGUACACGUGGCGCAAUCCUACGGCCCUACCCGAUUUGACCAAUUAUUUAACUUAAAAUUCAAAUAUCCGCCCCAUUACCCUUUUAACCCACCCAAUUUACCCAUUUUCUUUUAAGUCAUCUGCUCUACCCAUCAAAGAAAUAAAAUCUGAUUAAUUUUCCAUACUCAUUUAAAGUUGAGUUGACACCGUAAGUUUCAAAUCCAAUAGUUUGUGCAUCAGUAAUUUUAGAAUCAUAUUUACUCAACCACCAUGAGGCCAAGCAGCAAAUCCCCAAUGGCAGCCGCAAAACACCACUACCAGCAUAGCAACAACAACAAUUUGAGCUAAAGUUAGCACAGAUCUCAUCAGAAAAGCAGGAAGAGAAGAGAAGAGAAGUGUGGGGGCAAAAAGAGGUAAAAAUUAGUGGGUGAGUGGAACAUUGGGAAUAGCUAGUGGGUCAACAGAUUCUUGCAGAGAAUAUGUCGUUUAGAUCUCAGAAAUUUCGGUUGGUAUGAGAAGAUGGUGACUGAAAACUAACUCUUGCUGGCGUUGAUUGUCGGAAGUUGAGGAUUUAAUCUAGUUGGUUUUAGUUUUUCAAUUCUUCCUUGAGUUUCACAGUGAGCUUUCAUGGUGGUUGAGGCCUGAUUUUAAUGAAAGUUUUAGAUAAAAGAAGAUGACUUCAGAAAAUGGGUUUAUUUGUGUGGGUAAUGGGUAAAUUAGGUGGGUUAAACGGGUAAUGGGCGGGUAUUUGAAUUUUGGAUUAAAAUAAUUGGUGUUGAGCUGUAGGAUUGCGACACGUGUACUAAAUAAGUCUUCCGUUAGUGGGAGGGGUAAAUGUGCACUGAUUUUUGAACGGCAGGGGUAUUAAUGAACGGAAAGUAUGACGGAGGGUAUUUAUAUACCAUUAACAAUUGUUCGGGGGUAUAUUUGUCCCUUUUCCCUUUUUGAAAACAUUGCUCCUAGCUUAUUACAGUUGAGGUUUAUAAUGCAUCUAGAUCGGAAACAGCCUCUUUCUCUCCCAAGGUAGCAGUAAGGUCUGCGUACGCUCUACCUUCCCAUACCUCAUUUGUGGGAUUACACUGUGUAUGUUGUUGUUGUAGAGUCUUUUUUGGAUGACCUACUUAUCAAAAAAAGAAGGGGAAACAGUCUACUGUGAUUCACCUGUUUCGGUUCUGUCAAUAGCUUUUGUAGUUGUUUAUACGAGAUUUUGAAUUAUUUUACCAAAACUUAUCGUUAGCCGCAUUGUAUGACAUUUUCUUAAUUUAAAUUCCUUUUCCAGGUCUCCCGUAUAUCAAAGAAAAAUGUUUGCUUCGUUAUGUUUGUGGAUGAAGCUACUCUAAAAACUCUUACAGCUGAAGGUAAGAUGCCAGACAGCAUGGGCUUUGUAGGUUUAUGGAAGAUCGUAGUGGUAAAGAAUCUUCCAUUUUCUGAUAUGCGGAGAGUGGGAAAGAUACCAAAGUUAUUGUCUCAUCGACUCUUUACUUCAGCCAGGUAACUGGAAUUACAAUCUUGUAUAGUAUUUGUUUGUGGUAUGUUACUCCUUAUAUUCGACUUGUAUGAUACCAUGCUAUAGCUAGUUAGCACUCAAUAUUCACUUCCAAUUAGGGGUUUACCAAAUCAAAAAAAUAAAAGAAUGAAAGAAGGAAAAAACAAAUUCGUUCUCAAUGCAUUUAGUUGUCUGCACUGGCUUAAUAUUUAACUUAAAGGACAUCAUUUGUAUUUGGUACAUUCUCAGCAUUAGCUUCAUGCUUCCUGCAGUGCAUCAAAAUACCAGUUCCAUUAGCAUCUUUUUUUAUCUAGUCGUAAAAUUGGCGCAUGCUUUUUUCUAAUAUUAGAUUGAUGAUAGCUUCUUAUGAUGGUUUGGUUUUGAGUGGGGAUUAGUCUCACUGUAGAGGCAGAACUUCAAGUAAAUAAUGUCUCUUUUGGGUUUAAUAUUUUUUCACUUUGAGUGGUGCUGCAAUGUGUUGUUUCACCAUUUAAAAGAUAUUGUGUAGACAGAAGUCAACUGAUGAGUGCAAAUGUACUAGUUUCUGCAAAUAAUCAAAAUGCUGAGAUGGUACUGAAUAAGAGACUGUGUUGGAAUUUGGUCUACUUUUGAUCGGCAUUAAUUACCCUUUCCCUUCUGUCUACUGGGGAAUAAACUAUAUUUGAAAAAGUCAAUUAUGUGAACUGGCAAUGCCAUAACUAUGAGUUCAGAGGAUUGCUAGUGCUAAUUUUACAUUAACUCAUUGGUGCUCUUUAACUUUGGUAGCUAUUUUUUUCAGGAUUCCAUAAUUUGCCUGGGUUUCUGCUUUUCCUUGUUUGUGUGGUGGUGUUGGGAAAGAUACAACAUAAAAUGUUAAUGACACACAUCUCUCAGCCUUCAUCUUGCUGCUUGCCUAUCCCUUUUCUUCCCUUUCCAUAUUUAUCCAACAUGUAGUGUAUACCACUGUCAUAUGAUUUACUCCACAUUGCAUGUAAUAGAAUGUAGUAUUAUCUGUGAAUGUAUUAGCAAAAGGUGAACGAUGAGGUCAUCUAACUCAGUAGUGACAACUGUAUUCUAUUGGUGCAAGAUGGACUUUUGAUACAGUCAGUGAUACUCUUGUAAACUGCUCUUUUAUCCUCUCUUUUGGGCCUUACAUUUCUAUGCAUAUAAUUGUUUGCUUGAACUUUUCAAAUUUCUGUUCGUUUAUUAAAAAGUUGAGAUGCUUGAGUGUGAAUUGCUUAUUAAACCACCUCUCCCUGAAGAAAGAGGAGGUGGAAGGGAGAAUUUCUAUCUUAGUAGCUUAUAAUUUUAUUUUAUUUUCCAAAAACAUUUUACGAGCAUUUUCAUUUGAAAU
Molecule: long non-coding RNA, 18888 nt
Filed under: Solanum tuberosum (potato)
Lineage: Eukaryota; Viridiplantae; Streptophyta; Magnoliopsida; Solanales; Solanaceae
Description: long non-coding RNA (STUB_LNC010538)
Source: RNAcentral